CUCAAUCAGUCUUUGAUGGACUCGGAUUUCCUUCACAACAUAAACACUUCCCAUACAACGGCUGGAACAACUGCAGCAAGCUCAGCCCCGUGAAAAUCUUCCAGCAUCAACGACGAAUAAACGAUUCCUCAUAAAAGCAAACCAUAACCCGUCCUUUAGCGUGCUGCCUUUCCGUCGAAUCACUUCUUUUCUUCUAUUGCGUUUGUCGGGCUAGCGAAUACCAGACGGUAGCGUAAAAACAAAAUCGGCAAUGGGCUAUAACUCGAACAUGGCUUUGCAUCGGCGGGUGUAGAAAACGGCUCUUCCUACAAUCGAUCCGAGCUUACCAUAUUCACACUGUGAAACUGAAAUGCCCGACAUUAGCUAGCAACGAGAUCGGCGUUUUGAGUUGAGCGCCUUCAUUUUCAUACCGACACUUGCCUUCUUCAGUCAGCCAGCCAGCCACUAACAAACGAUCUAAACCCGCACUUCUGGCCACCGACAUCUCCUGAACUGCUCCUCACUUCAACUGGUGUUGCCGCACUUCGAAGAUGUGCACAGACUAUUUUCGAUUUAUGAUGUCCAUACAAUACCUGUACACGUACACAUGAGCACACACUAAUAAAGCCUCAUUCGUUUCAGAAUUUACGCAUACUUGGGGCAGAACUAGUUCUGUAUGAUUAUGGCGUGGUACCCAGAAGAUCGUAGAAGUGGAUUAAAAAUAGAGAUAACCGUUCUCGGGUUUUUGGUCUAGUUCCAGUGUCGUUCUAUUUUUUUCCGCUUAUUUUUUAAAACCACAACAGCCACCACGAAGCACAAAAAAGCAGGAACCUUUUCUGUCAGACUUCCGUUGCCAGAUUAGACUCUAAAACCCUACGAUGUACGUAUUUUUCCUGCGUUGUUUUCUUUCUGCCUCACUAAGUUGUAACCAAAUAUAUGUGGUUUUGUGUAGGCUUGUGCGCGGAAGUACAUCAUACGCGACGAACAGCAAGUUUUCUAAACAAGCUCGUUUCUUUUCCUAAACUCACUAGCAGCUCCCGCAUAACACAGGGCCUACUUCUCUGUGGCUUCGUGGGCCGUCGUUGGUGUCGGCCGGGCCUACGGUUUCUAUCUGUCUGACGACGGCCUGGGUUUCCUCCACCUAUUGCAGCUGGAACAGUCGUAGCAGCCGCUUACUCUCCUCGCCAGAGCGCCUCCUUCAUCGCAGCCACUAGCGCCGCUCGACGGCGGUGGCAGUGGCCGCACUGUUGUCGUCGUCGUCGCCGCGAGAACAAGCACCAGCAGGAGUAGCAUGCUCUUAGGUCCCAAUCCCUGUCCGCUCACUGCUAAGCGGCGCGCGAUGUUGUGACUGUCCUCGCGCUCCACAAACGCGUUGGUCCGCCGAGAGCCUAUGCAGCCUGUCCAGCCUAUGGACUGAUAUGUCUUACCCUUUCUUUAGCAACUCUCAUGACAGGCUUGGCUCCUCUGGUCCGAUAGACCGGAAGACAAGAUUACAGGAUUAUUGGCCUAAUCCGUGUCGAAUGGCCUGUUUCGAGUCGAGUUUGAGGAAAAGGAUAGUGAUCUGGCGAAAAAGGAGGUGAAUGGCAAACGAAACAGGCAGAAUAUUCUGCGGACAAACCCUGUGGAAUGCUUCACCGACUUGCGGCAAAAAUACGUUCGAAUGAACGCGCGCAAGCAUGUCUUUUCCGCAGGCCUGUUGUGGCUAGCCCCCUUCACCAACCCUUCUCCUUCUGUGGGGUGCCUCAAACUUUGCCGCCGCAGAGCCUACUGGGUCCAGGGAGCUCCACGGAUCGACCGAACUGCACUCGCAUUAUAACACCGGACAGAGUGGGAGCUUCGUAUGGGAAGUGAGGUUUGAUUCGAUCGUAGCCGCCAGCAUUAGGAGUUGGUUCAGUGCUUAGUACAACACUUUUUGAAUUAGCCCGCCUGGGCGCACACAGACGGUGUGCGAGAGAGAAAAUAGGCCAGGUCGAAGCAAGACGACUGCGUCAACAACAGCCGCAGCAGCGCAGGGCGGCUACGACCAGAACGCGGACGCCGCGAAACUAAAAGCACAGCAGUGGGAUGGCCAGGUGGGCGGUGCUACUCGAUCGCUGAUUGGCGCUCUGGCAGUUGAUGGUGCUUGUUUUUUUGUCUAUAUGCCCGAAAUCGCUAUCGAUAAAUUUGUGGUACUGCAGUUGUUUUCGGCCCUAGAUAUCGGGAUCUGAUCAAUUUGUCAGUGAUGCUUACUGAACGGUAUCAGGCAGCGAGUCAACGCGAGUCGAUCAGCAAGCGUCGCAAUUAUAAGUAAAUUUGCAAGAAAAGUAAUAAAUAGAAUUAAACCCGAUUCAUGUGGUUUAAUUACGGUCCCGGUACUUAUUGUAGUGUGUGGCAUUUCUAAAUUCUAUUGGCAAGUGAAUGCUCUGCCGCCACGGGUGUAUCGGAGCCAGAAGUGAGAUUUAGGUUUCUGACUUUAAAUUACAAACCUUAAGUUGAGUACAAGUUAGUUCGUGAUGACGUGCUCAAAUUGUGAACGUCUCCGUAAAGAGAUGGAAGAAAUGAAGGAAUCGAUGCAGCUGAGAGAGUUCGAGCUUGAGGAAAAGCUUAACCAUUUAGAGGAUACAGUUGAAUGGGCGAACGAGGAUAAAGGAAAUUUGAAAGCGGAAUUAGAGGAGACGAUCAAAGAACUCAAAAAGUACAAAGACAUAAUUGCUAACCUCGGACACGGCGAGCCAUCAGGAGAAAAAUCUGAGGAUUUGGCAUCUUCCAAAACGCUCAUACCUUCGCAGUUGAAGAAAGAGGCCGUCCCGCGCCUCCUCGAAAUCAUUAGAAUACAAUCAGAACUAAUGAAAGAGAUGAAGGAUCUCAUAACUGCCAGUGGUUCAGAGGUAGCAGAGGUGGCUGCGACCGCCUAGAAUGCAUUUUUCGUGGUAACAGAUGCGAGAAAAACGAUAGAAGCGCCUAACGUGGCGUGGAAUAGCUGUUAAGCAUAAGAUCUGCAUAGGGCAGUGGUGGCGUCACAUUAAUGGCCGUUAAAAAAAUUAUGACAACGAUUGAAUAAGCUGUUAUUGUAAACUAUACGUACGUAGGCAUGGAGGGUGCGUUGAGACCACUUAGUCAUCUUCCGGCAUCAACUGGCUUCUAAACAAUCUUUAAGGGGACGUGGUGGCCUUUGGGCUUAGAAAUUGCUGGGUUGAUCUCUAACGGAAGACGAAAUCGGGUUGUGAGAGAGCUGAACGAUCAACCUGUUAACAUGUUAACGCUUUCUCUAGACACUGUUGCUUUCUUUCCGAAUAAGAAAAGGCGUUUGGAUAAACAGGCAAAGGGAGAGCUUCGGCCCAAAUGAGAAAAAAUAAAAACAAGCGAGUGUAAAGAAAGCUCCAUCUGAUGAUGAAAUUCCUAAAAAAUAUUAAUUUUUCCUUUGAUAGAAGUUUUGAGUAAAAUCGUUAUGACCAACUGCAAAGCAGAUCAAUUGCAGUCAAAGCAGAAUUAUUUUCCGAAGCUUUUCACGCAAAUCCACGAAGCUUAUCAUAAUUAAGGGCAUCUGGAGCAACCUUCAUUCAGUAAUCGACGCAAAAAGUCAGCGCCUAUUGCGUUAUUAUUAUUUUAAAUCUGGCAAGGUAUACGAGUCAAAAAAUCGUAAUAUUUUUCCAAGCUUGACACAUGCCUAGUGUAUUCACUACAGAAAGUGUGCGUUUGCCAUUCUUAGCACGGUCUGUUGUUUCCUAGUACAAUAAAAUCGAAAGAAACCGGCUAAGGCGAGCGAAAACCAAGGCGUAGGUGAACGCUCCGAUAUGGCGGGUAUGUGGAGUUUCGUUACAGGCUAAAAUACCGAGCUUACGUCUUGGAGCAAGGCUUAGGCAGUGUAGCCACUGUGCACGCAUUUGCACUGUUCAUACACUUAAAAAAAAGAAAGUGCCUCUUAGAGCGGCAUGGUGUCUAUGUACAAGAAGCGAACGAAGAUAGCUUAGCCUAGGCGCCACGUAUAUGAAUCUAGCAAUAUACAGGGUGGGGCAAAAGUCUCUGAAUUGUUGAAGAGCCUUUAUUUCAUAUUUGCUAACUUGGCAUGAGGUACGCAAGUUAUAGCAAUAAAGAUGUGCUGCAUCUUUAAAUUAUUGUAAAUCUAAAGUUAUGUGCCUCAUCCUGUAUAAAAAUUGUCCUUUGUCUAAUGUAUGCACCACUGUCAAACGUUGUUGACUCAUUUUUAGUAAAGGCAUUACCUUUUACCCAACAUAUAGAAAUGGAGACACAAUUAUGAGUUGGUGCUUACAUCUGUGCAGUUGCAGUGCAUAGAUAUUGUAUAAAGAUUACUGGUCUUUUCUAAUGAAAUUGUAGGGUAAGGGAGAACUCAGUCAUUGUUGGAUUGCUGUUAGAUUAACUGCGAAAUGAUGGCCUUGGUGACAAACAACUUUUCCAUAGAAAAGCUGGCCUAAUCAGGCAGAAUGCACCUAGUGCCUUAUUAUAUAUAAAUAUGCUUAUCAUUAUCUUGCAGUAUUGUUGACGAAAUCCAAAGAAACAUGUUACUUCUGUAUUAUAACGGUCGAUGCCUGCUAACCUGUUGUGGGAAAUAUAUAUACUCCACAUUGAUAUUACACAGUUAAAGUUGUUUAGCUGAGAAUGUCUAUUAUUGUUCAAUAAAGAAAGAACAUAGAAGAUAUAA
Molecule: long non-coding RNA, 4618 nt
Organism: Varroa destructor (honeybee mite)
Lineage: Eukaryota; Metazoa; Arthropoda; Arachnida; Mesostigmata; Varroidae
Source: RefSeq, a predicted model, not a curated record